ACUGUGACCAAUAGGAGAAGCUAAUUCAUGGUGGUGAGGAUAACUAAAGUACUGAUCUUCACCGUUGAUAAACCUUAAUCUAAUGGAUAUAAUUUAUUCACUUAUUUUUUAUAUCUCUUUCUUCUCCUUAUCCCGACUUUUGCAAUCUUCUUUUUUCAUGGAUCUCAAACUAAACUUCUCCCUCUCACGACCUUCUCACAACCGUCAGACGUCACACGUCACACGUCACCACCACAACCAUCGUUCGUCACAACCAUCACCGUCCGACACCACCAUCACAAUGGGUUGGAGGAAGCAAGGCGUGCGGCGGAGACCAAGCGAAGUGGUGGAACAGAGAAAAUAUAUAGAGCUCGGAGAUGCAGAGAAAGAAGAAGACGCGACGGUCGGUCUCUAGCUCGUUCACGUCCUCACCAGCAGCAGCACCACUACCACCACCGACGGUGGUAGAAGAAGAGGAAGCUACGGGACAGUGGUUGAAGUCUUGAAGACCUUAACGGGACAGUGGUUGAAGUCUUGAAGACCUUGACGAUGGAAGAAGAAGAGGAAGCUACGGCGGCUGGAGUUUUUUCUUAGGUUUACAGUAUUUUUUUUAGGUUUGGUUUAAUGUGUUUUAGUUAGUGUAUGGUUUAAUUUGUUCUGGUUUAGUUAAUUUUUUUAAUUUUGGUUUAGUUUUGUAAAACUAAUUUUAUUGUAAACUGAUUUUAAUUAAUAAAUAAAUUUUUAUUUUAA
Long non-coding RNA from Raphanus sativus (radish), 729 nucleotides. RefSeq lists it as uncharacterized. The record is from RefSeq and is a predicted model, not a curated record. The transcript is spliced from 2 exons. NCBI's taxonomy places the organism in Eukaryota, Viridiplantae, Streptophyta, Magnoliopsida, Brassicales, Brassicaceae.